GGGCUAAAUACACCACCGAAGCUGCGGAUUGAUACCAAUGGUAUCAGUGGUAGGGGAGCGUUCUAAGGACAGUGAAGUCAGACCGGAAGGACUGGUGGAGUGCUUAGAAGUGAGAAUGCCGGUAUGAGUAGCGAAAGACGGGUGAGAAUCCCGUCCACCGAAUGCCUAAGGUUUCCUGAGGAAGGCUCGUCCGCUCAGGGUUAGUCAGGACCUAAGCCGAGGCCGACAGGCGUAGGCGAUGGACAACAGGUUGAUAUUCCUGUACCACCUCUUUAUCGUUUGAGCAAUGGAGGGACGCAGAAGGAUAGAAGAAGCGUGCGAUUGGUUGUGCACGUCCAAGCAGUUAGGCUGAUAAGUAGGCAAAUCCGCUUAUCGUGAAGGCUGAGCUGUGAUGGGGAAGCUCCUUAUGGAGCGAAGUCUUUGAUUCCCCGCUGCCAAGAAAAGCUUCUAGCGAGAUAAAAGGUGCCUGUACCGCAAACCGACACAGGUAGGCGAGGAGAGAAUCCUAAGGUGUGCGAGAGAACUCUGGUUAAGGAACUCGGCAAAAUGACCCCGUAACUUCGGGAGAAGGGGUGCUUUCUUAACGGAAAGCCGCAGUGAAUAGGCCCAAGCGACUGUUUAGCAAAAACACAGCUCUCUGCGAAGCCGUAAGGCGAAGUAUAGGGGGUGACACCUGCCCGGUGCUGGAAGGUUAAGGAGAGGGGUUAGCGUAAGCGAAGCUCUGAACUGAAGCCCCAGUAAACGGCGGCCGUAACUAUAACGGUCCUAAGGUAGCGAAAUUCCUUGUCGGGUAAGUUCCGACCCGCACGAAAGGUGUAACGAUUUGGGCACUGUCUCAACCAGAGACUCGGUGAAAUUAUAGUACCUGUGAAGAUGCAGGUUACCCGCGACAGGACGGAAAGACCCCGUGGAGCUUUACUGUAGCCUGAUAUUGAAUUUUGGUACAGUUUGUACAGGAUAGGCGGGAGCCUUUGAAACCGGAGCGCUAGCUUCGGUGGAGGCGCUGGUGGGAUACCGCCCUGACUGUAUUGAAAUUCUAACCUACGGGUCUUAUCGACCCGGGAGACAGUGUCAGGUGGGCAGUUUGACUGGGGCGGUCGCCUCCUAAAGUGUAACGGAGGCGCCCAAAGGUUCCCUCAGAAUGGUUGGAAAUCAUUCGUAGAGUGCAAAGGCAUAAGGGAGCUUGACUGCGAGACCUACAAGUCGAGCAGGGACGAAAGUCGGGCUUAGUGAUCCGGUGGUUCCGCAUGGAAGGGCCAUCGCUCAACGGAUAAAAGCUACCCCGGGGAUAACAGGCUUAUCUCCCCCAAGAGUCCACAUCGACGGGGAGGUUUGGCACCUCGAUGUCGGCUCAUCGCAUCCUGGGGCUGUAGUCGGUCCCAAGGGUUGGGCUGUUCGCCCAUUAAAGCGGUACGCGAGCUGGGUUCAGAACGUCGUGAGACAGUUCGGUCCCUAUCCGUCGUGGGCGUAGGAAAUUUGAGAGGAGCUGUCCUUAGUACGAGAGGACCGGGAUGGACGCACCGCUGGUGUACCAGUUGUUCUGCCAAGGGCAUAGCUGGGUAGCUAUGUGCGGAAGGGAUAAGUGCUGAAAGCAUCUAAGCAUGAAGCCCCCCUCAAGAUGAGAUUUCCCAUAGCGUAAGCUAGUAAGAUCCCUGAAAGAUGAUCAGGUUGAUAGGUUCGAGGUGGAAGCAUGGUGACAUGUGGAGCUGACGAAUACUAAUAGAUCGAGGACUUAACCAUAUAA
Molecule: ribosomal RNA, 1744 nt
Filed under: Bacillus anthracis (anthrax bacterium)
Lineage: Bacteria; Bacillati; Bacillota; Bacilli; Caryophanales; Bacillaceae
Description: bacterial LSU rRNA
Rfam family: Bacterial large subunit ribosomal RNA
Source: RNAcentral